CUCCAUUACAUCAUGUGACCCCUCAUAACAGUCAAGAUUCUUAUUCAGUCACUAAAUGGACUUGAUGGUUCUUUCCAUCUCUGAGAGUCUAUGAUUGUGGCUGUUUAGCAUCCAGAUCGGUAACACCAGAUUAAAUCAUUUCUAGUAUCCUUUCCAAUGCGGAAUCUCUGAUCUUCUCAUGUGAGAGUCCCUCUCCAGAGCUAUCGAAAAGGCAUGCUUGUGUUCAUGGUCCUAUCACGUUUCUUAGCAGUUUAUCAAUGUCAUGUUUAAAUAUACUUGAGCCCUGUGCCACAGUAAAGACUCAACUAGGAUUGCAGGUUUAGCAUGCAGCCAAGGAGCAAUGAUAUUGUAAACACAAACCUUUCUGACUCCAUAGAAGUGCCCUUAGGUCAGUGUCCAAAGCUACCAAAAGUAGCUUUGGCUAAGACUUGCCCCUCACAGUCAGGGCCAUCUGCCCUUUUCCCUAGGAGGUAGCUGUAUGUCUAUAUCUAAAUCCCUAAAACACCAUCCCUUCAAUUUCCCCUUCUCUACAGGAGAAUGCCCAAAGGACCACUGAUGCUGGAAUUCCAGUUAAGCAGAAAUAGGUUUUCUUGGCAAAGAUACUGGAGUGGUGUGCCAUUUCCUUCUCCAGUUCAUUUUUUCAGAUGAGAAAACUGAACUCCUCCUCCCCAAGAAGGCAGUUCCCAAGCAGAACUGAUUCAGAACCAUUCUCUUUGGACUGAAAUUUCUCCUGCUUCAUCUCAGUACUAUGACCAAGGUUCGGACACUGGCAGAUUCUUCCUCCUGUCUGCUGCUGACUGGGGACAAGGCUCCUACAAUAUGGAUUUUGUUGUCUGAUCUCCCGUAACCCACCAGCGCCCCUUGUCAAAAACAGAGGGCCUACAGCUCGACCACUGUUCGACACAGAAAACAGCAAGUCAUGAAUCACGGAGGCUUCUGGAGUCCGGCCGAACAAAAGGCCUCCAUCUCCAGGAGACUUCGGGGAGCGGCGUCCUGGCCUCCUUCCACCCCAAGCCGGGUUCUUCCCCACUGGCCCAGGCGAGCCCCGGAAGGGAACCGCUCCGGGCAGGUGGACUCGAGGCCGUGGUCACUUAAUCUUCUCACAUUCACAAAUGCUAUUUUUCAUACCAGCUGCACCCUAAACACUGAGUUAAGAUGGUGAUUAGUGGUGGUGGUGGGGUGUCACAGUGUGAGCUUUCUUAAGAAGAAAAGGCUUUGAUUGAGCCAAUGAAAGCUGUUGCCAGGGAACCAGAUGCCAUGAGCAGGCCACUCCAGCCGGGUAAGAAUACAAACCAUGUGAGUGUUGAACUGAGCUUUAACUGCACUUGGCAGCUGAGCCCGAGAACGCAGCAGCGUUAACUCUUUGAGCGCCUCAGAGCACGUGAACCCAACUGGGAAUGGAAGAAAGCAUUUAGUGUUCCAUGGGACUGUUGGAAGGGCUGAAGCUCCUGGGCUGUCAGGGUCUGCCCCUUAAAAUGUGCCAUCCUAGAAGAGUGGCAGAGAAAAAGAUGAGUUUGCUGAGGCUCCCUGCUAGAGUCCCAAAGGGUGGUAUGGCUUAAGUCACUGCCACUCAGCCCUCAGCGUUGACCUUAGUUUCCAACACAAUAGAGAUGGAAAGCAGAGCUUGGGGAUGGAAAGGAUUCUUGUUCUGGGACUUUCUAAGUGCCAUAGGGGAAAGGGGGGGGGCACCCUCCAUAGCUUUGGAGGUAAGGAGCUGUGCCAUUGAAGCCACAGGCAUCACCUUCUAGAAGGAGGCACAGAGAUGCUGCUGCCCACCUCGGGGCUCAUCAUGGCAUGAUUCACUCACUCACCAACUAUGUAUUUUUUAAGCCUUUACCUCCCAUCUUUAGAAUCAAUACCAUGCAUUGGUUUCCAGGCAGAAGAACGGUAAUGGCUAAGGAAUGGGGGUGAAGCAUCUUGCCCAAAGUCAUAAAGCUAGAAAGUGUUUGAGGUCAUAUUUGAACCCAGGAUUUCCCCACCUCUAUUCACCAAACCACCUAGCUGCCACCUACAACUAUGUAUUAAGCUAAUACUGAAUGCAUAAAAAACAGGGCAAUGGGGGGGAGGGAUCUGAAAUGUGCUCAUAAUCUAGAGAGUGAAAGAAAACACACAAGAAGAUAUAAAUAUUGUGAAGGAGCGAAGGAAUUGGAUUAACUGUAAAAAAUGAGUUGGAACAGAGGAAUAGAGUUGUGAGUCAACAAUUAGUCAAUAAACAUUUCUAAAGCAUAUCAGACACUGUGCUAAAUGCUAGGGAUAAAAAGGUCCUGUCCUCAAGGGACUCUAGCAGGAGAGAUAUCAUACAAAUAGUUUUUUUUGGUUAUUCUUCAGGCAUUUCAAUCAUGUCUGAUUCUUUGUGGUCUCUUCUUUGGGCUCUUUUUGGCAAAAGAUCACUGGAGUGGUUUGACAUUGUCUUCUCCAACUCAUUUUACAGAUGGGGAAACUGAGAUCAUCAGAGUUAAGUGAUUUGCUUAGGGUCACAUCACUAAUAAGUGUUUGAGGCUGAAAUUGAAAUCAGGAAGAUGAAUUUUCCUGUCUCCAGACUUGGCAUUCACUGUGCCACCUAGAUGCAUUGAACAACUUUGUACACACGUUAUCUAUGGUACAAGUAGAAGGUAAUCUCAAACUAGCAAAGGAUACAAAGGUAGUAAGAACAUUGAAUCUAAAGACAGAAGACCCAUGUUCAAAUGCCACUUUGGACACUAACUACUUAUGUGACCAUAGGCAAGUAUGUCACCCCUCUCUGACUAUGAGUUUCCUCAUUUAUAUAAAGGAAUAAGACCAGAUGGUUUCUGAGGUUCCUUCCAGCUAUGAUUCUGCUCCUCAAAAUCAAUACGAGGUACAGGAAUUAGGAAAGGCUUCUUGAAGAAAGUGGGACUUGAAUGGAACCUUCAAGGAUGUACCCAUGUACAUCACUGGAUUCCUAAUUUCCCUAUCACAGUGGAGAGUACUAUUAUUUUAAUCACCUAGGCUCCCAAACUCAAUGUCACCCUCUAUGAUUUACUCAGAACUGCCAAUGUAUCCACUUACCAUAUAUAUUCUUAACUAGCUAUAUGACCCUGGCCAAGUCACAAACCCUGUUUGCCUUAGUUUCCUCAUUUGUAAAAUGAGCUGGAGAAGGAAAUGGCAAAGCACUCCAGUGCCUUUGCCAAGAAAACCCUAAAUGGGACCAUGAAGGGUCAGACACAACUGAAACCACUGAACAACAACAACCCAUCAUACUAACCUUUUUCUAAAUCUUGUUUCUAGCUUCAUAGCGAAUAUUUUUCAUGUACAUCCUCUUCCCUUCACUCAAACAACCACAAUGCUAGUUUGAUCCCUCAUCAAGUGGCCUUCUAAUUGUUCUCCCUGCUUCCUCUGUCCCCUACACCAAUCAUUCCAACAUCAAGGUGAAUUUUUAAAUUAUAGAUUUGAUCAUGUCAUUCCCUGCUCAAUGGCCCCCAGUAGCUCUCAGUGUGAUCUCCAGGACCAAAUGUCAAAUUAUCAGUUUGAUAUUUAAAGCUUAUCUUGGCUUGGCUCUUUCCUACAUUUCCAGUCUUCUUAUACUUUGUUCUUCUACAAGUACCCACAAUACAACACUCCAUCUCCCACCUUUGUGUUUUUGCAUUGAUGGUACCUCAUGCCUGGAAUUCUCUAUCCCUCCUUCUGCCUCUGGACCCUAAGCAAAUCACUUAACUCUGAUGAUCUCAGUUUCCCCAUCUGUAAAAUGAGCUGGAGAAGAAAAUGUCAAACCACUCUGCUUCUGACUUCCUUUAAGAUAGCUUAAAGAUCUCCUUCUUCAUGAGAUGUUCCCCUUUGCUGCUAAUGGCUUCCCCUUUCUGAUUAUUUUCUAUGUAUUCUAUAAAUUUCUUCUAUGUGUGAUAUUCUCCUUAGUUAUUCACAUUUCAUUUUCCCUAUUAGAAUGUUUGCUCCUUGAGGGCAGGAACUGAUUUUUAUCUUUAUAUUCUGAGGGUUUAUCCCAGUACCUAACAAAGUAAGCACUUAAUUAUGUCUCAUUGACCAGUUUAUUUACAUAGGUAGAAAGGGAGGGAGGGGGACCAGCCUGAGAAAAAGCAUGAGGUCAGGCAAUAAACAUUUAAGUACCUCCUAUGUAGCUGGCACUGUGCUAAGCACAGGAAUAGACAGCCCUAUCCUCAAGGAGUUCACAAUGUAAUGGGGAAGACAGGAAAACAAUUAUGUACAAACAAAAUAUAUAGAUAUAGCUGUUAAAUAGGAAGUAAAAUUAGAAUAAAAAGGGGUUAGAAAAGGCUUCCCAUAGAAGGUAAGAUUUUAGCUGGGACUUAAAGGAAAACAGAGAGGUCAGAAAAAAAUGCCUCAAGCCAGGCCAAGAAUAUCAAGGGAAUUAAUGAACAAAAAAUAUGAAGAAAGGAAGUCUAGCCAUGCCAGAUCUCAAAUUAUACUAUGAAGUGGUAAUUAUCAAAACAAUAUGUUACUGUCUAAGAAUUAUAAUAGAGGAUCAAUGGAAUAAGUUAGGUACUCAAUACACAGUAGGUAAUGACCAUAGUAAACUAGCAUUCGAUAAACGCAAAGAUCUAUACUUUUGGGGAAAGAACUUACUAUUUGACAAAAACUGCUGGGAAAACUGAAAAAUAGUAUGGCAGAAACUAGUUAUAGACCAACAUCUCACACCAUACACAAGAAUUAAGUCAACAUGGAUACACUUAAUCUAUAAAUAAAGGAUGACAUCAUAAAUUAUGGAACACAGAAAAGUUUACCUGUAAGACUUAUUGAUAAAGGAGGAAUUUAUGACCAAAAAAUACAUAGAGAACAUUAUGAAAAAUGAAAUGGAUAAUUUUGAUCAUGGUAAAUUAAAAUGUUUCUGUACAAGCAAAACCAAUGCAAUCAAGAUUAGGAAAAAACAACAACAAAUGGGGGGGGGUGUUAUAGAAAGUAUUUCUGACAAAGACCUAAAUCUCUCAAGUACAUAGAAAAUUGUCUCAGAUUUAAUGAGAACACAAAGCACUCCCCAACUGAUAAAUGGUCAAAGAAUAUGAACAAGCAGUUAUCAGGGGAAGACAAAAACUAUUUAUAUUCAUAUGAAAAAAUGUUUCAAAUCUUCUGAUUAGAGAAAUGCAAAUUAAAACAAGUUUUAGAUACUACCUCACACUUAUCAAAGUGGUUAAUAUGACCAACAAGGAAAAAUGAUAAAUGUUGAAAGGGAUGUGGGAAAAUUGGGACACUAAUACACUGCUGGUAGAAUCAUGAACUGAUACAAUCAUUCUGGAGAGCAAUGUGGAACCAUGCCCAAAGGACCAGAAAACUAUGUAAUAUCACUUUGACUAGCAAUACCACUACUAUGUCUGUAUCCCAAAGAGAUCAGAGAUAAGGGAAAAGGACCUACUUGUACAAAAAUAUUUUGAGCAGCUUCUUUUUGUAGGGGGAAAGAAUUGGAAAGUGAGGGAGUGUCUAUCACUUGGGGAAUGGCUUGUGGUAUAGGACUGAAUGAAAUACUACUACAUCAUAAGAGAUAACAAACAGGAUGAAUUCAGAAAAACCUGGAAAGACUUAAAUGAACUGAUGCAAAGCUAAGUGAGCAGAACCAGGAAAAUACUGUGUAUAGUAACAAAGAUACUGUAUGAUGAUCAACAUGAAGGACUAAACUAUCAUCAGCAAAUCAAGUUUCCAAGAUAUCCAUUAGGGACUUAAUGAAAAAUGCUAUCCACAGCUAAAGAAGGCACUGGAGUCUAAUUGAAGAUCAAAGUAUGCCAUCUUCCACUUUAUUUCCUUCAUUCAUAUGUUAUUUUUUAUUGUAUGUGUGAUAUCAAAAUAUAUAUUGCAUGAAGGCACUAGUAUAGCCUAUAUCAUACUAUUUGCCAUGUGAAGUAGGGGAGGAGAGGGUGAGAAUCUGAAUCAUAAAAAGUCAGAAAACAAUUGUCAAAAGUUAUUUCUACAUGUAAUUGGAAAAAAAAGUUAAAAAGAAAAUAUCUUAAGCUAAGAGAUGAGUUAUCUUGUUGGAGGAACAGCAAAGAAGCCAGUGACACUGCAUCAAAGAGUACAUUUGGGGGAGUAAGAUGUAAGAAGACUGGACAGGUGGGAGGGGGCUAGGUUAUGAAGGGCUUUGAAUGACAAACAGCAUUUUGUGUUUGAUCCUGAAGGCAAGGAGGAGCCUCUGGAGUUUACUGAGUAAUUGGGUGAUAUGGUCAGACCUGCACAUUAGAAAAAUUCCUUUGGUGGCUGAAUGGAGAAUAGACUGGAGUGGGGAGACACUUAAGGUGGGCAGACCCCACCACCAACUGCUAUUGCAAUAUCUAGGUGUGAGAUGAUAAGGACUUAUAUCAAGAAUAGUAAAGACUAGUAGAAGUUUAUGUGUUCAUGUAUUUUAAACAUUAGAUUAAAUAGAGUAAACAAACACCAAAUCAAAAAGAGCAUUUCCACAUAUGGAGUAGAACAGAAAAUGAAAUGUAAUGAAAUUUUGAACCACUAUGAAUUAUAGCUUACUUUUUUGAUAAAAGUAUGUAAUAAAGUUGACAUAAAAUUUGUUCUGCUUGAUCAUACAUUUUUGAAACAAGUUUUGUUUUUCUUGCCUUCUCAUUAGAUGGAGAAGGGAGAAAUUGGAGGGAGGGAGAGAAUUCAGAACUGAAAACAAAAUA
Monodelphis domestica (gray short-tailed opossum) is the source of this 6587-nucleotide non-coding RNA. NCBI's taxonomy places the organism in Eukaryota, Metazoa, Chordata, Mammalia, Didelphimorphia, Didelphidae. The record is from RefSeq and is a predicted model, not a curated record.